GCGGACGUGGCUCAGUGGUAGAGCAUCACCUUGCCAAGGUGAGGGUCGC
This 49-nucleotide transfer RNA is filed under the name Oerskovia sp. Root22. RNAcentral's name for it is "tRNA-Gly". It matches the Rfam family "tRNA", at positions 1 to 48 of the family's 71-position model. From Rfam's summary of the family: Transfer RNA (tRNA) molecules are approximately 80 nucleotides in length. Their secondary structure includes four short double-helical elements and three loops (D, anti-codon, and T loops). The record is from RNAcentral. Lineage: Bacteria; Bacillati; Actinomycetota; Actinomycetes; Micrococcales; Cellulomonadaceae.